AGAUGCACCAGCAGUGCUGUCGUUUGGACAACCUCUUUUGAGCUUUGAAAACAUUGUUCCUGGUAACAAGGUUUCAGUGCUGCCCGAUGCUCCAGAAGUUGCAUCGAUUCCCGAAAACCAGGAAAAUGUUGUGCCAUCUGUAGACUUCAGAGGUGAACCAGGUUUCUCCCCAGAAAUCCAGACUCCACUUCACAGAGCCAAGAGUUUGAGUACAAGACACUUGACUGGUUACUCGCCGCAGCAGUUUCUGGAUGAAAGGUGUCGA
This is a long non-coding RNA of Cyprinus carpio (common carp), 265 nucleotides long. RefSeq lists it as uncharacterized. NCBI's taxonomy places the organism in Eukaryota, Metazoa, Chordata, Actinopteri, Cypriniformes, Cyprinidae. The record is from RefSeq and is a predicted model, not a curated record. The transcript is spliced from 3 exons.